RNAcentral lists this unclassified non-coding RNA (343 nucleotides) under soil metagenome. RNAcentral describes it as "partial contains 5.8S ribosomal RNA, internal transcribed spacer 2, and large subunit ribosomal RNA". The stretch from base 1 to 120 matches the Rfam family "5.8S ribosomal RNA", at positions 35 to 154 of the family's 154-position model. The record is from RNAcentral.
GAUGAAGAACGUAGCGAAAUGCGAUAAGUAAUGUGAAUUGCAGAAUUCAGUGGAUCAUCGAGUUUUUGAACGCAUAUUGCGCCCUCUGGUAUUCCGGGGGGCAUGCCUGUUCGAGCGUCAUUAAAUAACCCUCAAGCAUAGCUUGGUGUUGGGCUUUUUUACGUCCUUGACUGGGAUGGGCCUAAAAAUUAGUGGCGAUGGCUUUUUUACUUUCAAGCGUAGUAAAUCUCGUCUUGCUAAAGAGGAAAAAGAUUUUUUUUCUGCCAAAAAUUUUAACAUUUAAAGUUGACCUCGGAUCAGGUAGGAUUACCCGCUGAACUUAAGCAUAUCAAUAAGCGGAGGA